UUGGGCUUAGGGGCAGCAGUGAGGAAUAUUGGUCAAUGGGCUUACGCCUGAACCAGCCAAGUCGCGUGAGGGAAGACUACCCUAUGGGUUGUAAACCUCUUUUGUCAGGGAGCAAUUGGCGCUACGUGUAGCGUUAUCGAGAGUACCUGAAGAAAAAGCAUCGGCUGACUCCGUGCCAGCAGCCGCGGUAAUACGGAGGAUGCGAGCGUUAUCCGGAUUUAUUGGGUUUAAAGGGUGCGUAGGCGGAAUGCCAAGUCAGCGGUAAAAUCGCGGGGCUCAACCUCGCUCCGCCGUUGAAACUGGCG
This 305-nucleotide ribosomal RNA is filed under the name uncultured bacterium. Its description in RNAcentral is "bacterial SSU rRNA". It matches the Rfam family "Bacterial small subunit ribosomal RNA", at positions 339 to 638 of the family's 1533-position model. The record is from RNAcentral.